GCGCCGGGCGGAUUCCGACGGCGCGCGGGCCGGCGGCGGUGGGGCGCGAGGCCGAGCCGUUCCCGGUGCUCGUGUAGCCGCGUUGGCGAGAGACGCAGUGUUUGUCCAACUGUACAAGCUGCUGCGAAGUCAUUAUGCCCGGAGUUGCUUUGGCACGAACUGGUUUUAUAUUGAGCCCAGUAGAAGACAGACAAAAGAACAUUCGGAAUUAGGUGCUUCUGUGGAUUUUCUUGGACCUAACUUCUAGAACUCUUCGUUAUUUAAAAAAAAAAAAAAUUCAGUGGUGUACGUACUUGAGCGGAGGGCGUUGCUUCUGUCGCUGCGUGGACUUGGAAGUUAAUUUACUGUUCAGUGUAAAACUGAUUGCUGAAAACCGUUAAACACAUUUGGCCUCUGGGUUUCAAACAGCGAGUUAAGUAGCACUUGACUACCUCGGUUUCUAACUGGAUAGUGAACAGGAUGCCUUCUUAAAGGAAAAUCCUGUUGUACCAGACAACUAAAGCACUGGAUCAAAAGGAAAUAACACUAAGAGAGCUCUGGAAGAGGUUUCUGUGCUACCCAACUGUGCCAGCAUUCCCAUCUAAGCAACCUUGGAGACUUCCAGCACCAAUCAACAUGCAAGCUUUACCUGCCAAAAAAGCUGUCAAUGUCAUGAGAUGGCUGCCCUGUUAACAAGUAAAAGCGAAAGCUUUCUUAGGAAAACGUGAGUCAGGGCUGGAGAGAUGGCUAAACGGUUAAGUGCUUGCCUGUGAAGCCUGAGGACCCCGGUUUGAGGAUUGAUUCCCGAGGACCCACAUGAGCCAGAUGCACAAGGAGGCGCGCACGUCUGGAGUUCGUUUGUGCCCAUUCUUUCUGUCACUCUCUGCCUUUUUCUCUCUCUGCCGCUCCCAAAUAAAAAUAAACAAACAAAAAAAAAUUUUAAAAAGAAAAAUGUGAGUCAGCAUAGAAAGCAUUGUCUCAAAUGGAAUUUCUGCCUUUCAAUCUCACUCAUCAAGUUACUGUUUUUGUUUUUGGAGGCAGGGUCUUGCUCUAGCCCAGGCUGACCUGGAAUUCACUCUAUAGUCUCAGACUAGCCUCAAACUCAUGGCAGUCCUCCUAUCUUUUCCUCCUGAGUGCUGGGAUUUUAAAGGUAUGUACCACACCUGGCACCAAUAACCUUUGUAUCAUAACUUUAGUAUGAUAUUAGUAUAGUCACUCUGCCCAUCUGUUUGCUUCUUGAGGUCUUAUGUAGUCCAGGCUGGAAGAUACUAAACUUCUGAUCCUCCUGUGUUCAUAUCCUGAGUGCUUUAAGUUACAGGAGUGGGCAACCACCCCUGACUUUAUUUAUUUGGGGAAGAAAAAAAAAAAAAAAAACAAGGAACUUGUCAUGACAAAGAACUUCCUGAUUUACAAAGAGCUGUCUUCUACCUUAAACACUGUUGUUUCCUCCAAGCUAGCAUGGAAGAGGGGACUGUGUUUUGCAAAACUUUGAUAAUCCUUUUUCCUCUAGUUCUUUUCAGUUUAGUAAGGGAAAUAAUUGUACUGGAUUGUGGUUAACUUCUGGUUUCUACCAAGAGCAUUUCCCAAUCAAAACAAGACAAUUCACGUGUAAAAUGAUUACUAGGAGAUGCACCCAAGGGAGACCCUCUAGUUGAACAGCCAAACGAGUCACAUUUUUCUUCAGAAUGUAAUUUUCCACCUGGAGGAGCAUGUCUGAGGUUCUGAGUCUACUUGGAACUACAUUAGAGUAGUUCUAAAGUAUUCUUCACUGUGUACAAAAAUAGUGUGACAAUGGGUAGGUAAGAAUUGUUGAAAAGCACAGUUUACAAAUGAAAUGCAUUUAGAUGACGAUGACAUAGCUGUCCCCAUUUAGUCUGUUCAUGGAUGUCAACAGUGAUGGUGCACCCCUCAGCAGGUCAGAUGCAAUGGAAACCACAGGUUUCCUUAAGGCAAGCACUUCACAACUAGUUGUUUUCUGUUAAUUCUUGAGUAAAUCACAUUCUGUAUUCAUACAAAAACAAUGUUUUUUUCUCUGACAAACUGUACAUAUAGAAAUAAAUUUCCAAAUGGACAUGAA
Molecule: long non-coding RNA, 2056 nt
Organism: Jaculus jaculus (lesser Egyptian jerboa)
Lineage: Eukaryota; Metazoa; Chordata; Mammalia; Rodentia; Dipodidae
Exons: 2
Source: RefSeq, a predicted model, not a curated record